This 253-nucleotide ribosomal RNA is filed under the name uncultured bacterium. Its description in RNAcentral is "partial 16S ribosomal RNA". It matches the Rfam family "Bacterial small subunit ribosomal RNA", at positions 524 to 776 of the family's 1533-position model. The record is from RNAcentral.
UACGUAGGGUGCAAUCGUUGUCCGGAAUUAUUGGGCGUAAAGAGCUCGUAGGCGGUCUGUCGCGUCGGCUGUGAAAACCCGGGGCUCAACCCCGGGCCUGCAGUCGAUACGGGCAGACUAGAGUGUGGUAGGGGAGACUGGAAUUCCUGGUGUAGCGGUGAAAUGCGCAGAUAUCAGGAGGAACACCGGUGGCGAAGGCGGGUCUCUGGGCCAUAACUGACGCUGAGGAGUGAAAGCGUGGGGAGCGAACAGG